This 347-nucleotide unclassified non-coding RNA is filed under the name soil metagenome. Its description in RNAcentral is "partial contains 5.8S ribosomal RNA, internal transcribed spacer 2, and large subunit ribosomal RNA". The stretch from base 1 to 120 matches the Rfam family "5.8S ribosomal RNA", at positions 35 to 154 of the family's 154-position model. The record is from RNAcentral.
GAUGAAGAACGUAGUGAAAUGCGAUAAUUAAUGUGAAUUGCAGAAUUCAGUGAAUCAUCGAGUCUUUGAACGCACAUUGCGCCCCCUGGUAUUCCGGGGGGCAUGCCUGUCCGAGCGUCAUUGCUGCCCUCAAGCACGGCUUGUGUGUUGGGCUUCCGUCCCUGGCAACGGGGACGGGCCCAAAAGGCAGUGGCGGCACCAUGUCUGGUCCUCGAGCGUAUGGGGCUUUGUCACCCGCUCCCGUAGGUCCAGCUGGCAGCUAGCCUCGCAACCAAUCUUUUUAACCAGGUUGACCUCGGAUCAGGUAGGGAUACCCACUGAACUUAAGCAUAUCAAUAAGCGGAGGA